UAAGGUUAUAGUUUAUAAAAAUAUUUAAUUUGCACUUAAAAGAAACAAUAGUUUACCUUAA
This 61-nucleotide transfer RNA is filed under the name Epimeria cornigera. RNAcentral describes it as "tRNA-Ala". Lineage: Eukaryota; Metazoa; Arthropoda; Malacostraca; Amphipoda; Epimeriidae. The record is from RNAcentral.